Pistacia vera is the source of this 1423-nucleotide RNA transcript. RefSeq lists it as uncharacterized. Lineage: Eukaryota; Viridiplantae; Streptophyta; Magnoliopsida; Sapindales; Anacardiaceae. The record is from RefSeq and is a predicted model, not a curated record. The transcript has 2 exons.
UUCUACUAAUUUUUAUUCACGAACAAUUUCAGUAUUAAAUGUACAUCUCUAUUUUCUGCUUUUGUGUCUAUUCUCCAUUCUUUUUCCGAUGAACGGAAAGAGAUAACAACUGUUUUUGUAAACUUUCGGCUUCACCAAUUGGAUUGAAAAUAUCUUUAAUCGAAAUGCGAACUUGUUGACUGAUUAUUAUUAUUUUCUAAACAUUUUAAAGAGACUAAUUUUGGUGCGUAUAAUAAAGUUUUUCAGUAAUUAUUAAUUAUCGCACUCAUCUCAUGUAUAGUUUGUUUAUGACAAAAAAAUUUAGGGCAAAAAUCACCUCCAACCUUAUGCCUUUCAAAUGUAAAGCAAUAGAAUUAAUCACACCUGAGCCUUGAUUUUGACACUUUGUAUGAUCCUCUUGGGCUUGCAUAGCUUUGGAGUUUCUGGAUUGGGAAAAACUAGUUCUGGGUCAAUUCUGUUCAAUUCAAUGGGCCACUUGUUUUUUAAUCUUUAGUUUAUUGAACAUGGAUAUUCAGAUUCCCGAGUCAUCAUUUCCGUGAAAAACCUUCCUUUUAAAUCUACAUUAGCAAUCACAGCUGAAAAGAGAGAUGGGCUCUGGAGAUGGGACUUUCCAUUGGAGUGUGUUUGAUGGCGUGAAGAUUAUGCCAUCAACGCCUGAAGCCCUUAUGGCCGAGAUUAACACAGCCAUUACUAAUCUUGAGUAUGCUCGUGCUACUGCUUACCUUGCCUCUCCAUCUUCCUUGUCAAAGAACUUCAACUCGGAGGAAAGUGUCACUUCACAAUAUGAUGCAAAAAUUGCAGAUGAGGCUUAUAAGGCAGGAUGUGCAGCAUUGGCUGCUGGCAAACUUGAUGAGGCUCUUCUCUCUCUAAACCUUUCUCUUUCCAAAUGCCCACCUGAUAAGACCACUGCAGUUGCUAAGCUUCAGUCUCUCAUUUCUCUAACAUCUCAGCAGCUUCAGAACUCUUCUCACUGAAUUAGCUGGAGAUUCUCUGUGAUGAUCCAUGUGUGGGAGAAGAAAGGGAGGAGAAGAUAUGGCCGGUGACCUUUUCAAAAACCAAUUAAAGUUGGCAUGAGAACCACUAUACACUAUAUGGCAGUAUCUACUUGCUUGCAUUUUACACUUUUCUUUAGUCUUCAGAAUUGGGUGCCAGGGCUAUUCAGCUGGUUGCACUGUUUUAUAUGUGACAGGUUGAAUAAGGGAAAAAGAUUACAUGAUGUAUGAUUCUGGACUGUAAUCAUGAUGUUUGUUGUCCUGGAUCAGCUUCUGUUGUUCACUUACAUUGUCAAUUGCUCUGUGCAUAAUCUUCUUUUGUGAUAUAUAAGUUUAAAUUCACCAAGGAUUGCACAGAGUUUGAAGGUGUUAAAGUAAUAGAGUUGUUUCUCAUGAUGCAAACGCAAUUCUCGUAAUCUCAAGUUUAAGGA